Molecule: ribosomal RNA, 389 nt
Filed under: uncultured bacterium
Lineage: Bacteria
Description: bacterial SSU rRNA
Rfam family: Bacterial small subunit ribosomal RNA
Source: RNAcentral
GACGAACGCUGGCGGCGUGCUUAACACAUGCAAGUCGAGCGGUAAGGCCCUUUCGGGGGUACACGAGCGGCGAACGGGUGAGUAACACAUGGGUGACCUGCCCUCAGCUCUGGGAUAAGCCUGGGAAACCGGGUCUAAUACUGGAUAUGACUCCAUGACGCAUGUUGUGGGGUGGAAAGCCUUGUGCGGCUGAGGAUGGGCCCGCGGCCUAUCAGCUUGUUGGUGGGGUGAUGGCCUACCAAGGCGACGACGGGUAGCCGGCCUGAGAGGGCGACCGGCCACACUGGGACUGAGACACGGCCCAGACUCCUACGGGAGGCAGCAGUGGGGAAUCUUGCGCAAUGGGCGAAAGCCUGACGCAGCGGCGCCGCGUGAGGGAUGACGGCCUC